This 763-nucleotide ribosomal RNA is filed under the name uncultured bacterium. RNAcentral's name for it is "bacterial SSU rRNA". It matches the Rfam family "Bacterial small subunit ribosomal RNA", at positions 8 to 796 of the family's 1533-position model. The record is from RNAcentral.
AGAGUUUGAUCCUGGCUCAGGACGAACGCUGGCGGCGUGCCUAACACAUGCAAGUCGAGCGGGGAACUUCGGUUCCCAGCGGCGGACGGGUGAGUAACACGUGGGUAACCUGCCUCAAAGAGGGGGAUAGCCUCCCGAAAGGGAGAUUAAUACCGCAUAACAUUAUUUUCUCGCAUGAGAAGAUAAUCAAAGGAGCAAUCCGCUUUGAGAUGGACCCGCGGCACAUUAGCUAGUUGGUGAGGUAACGGCUCACCAAGGCGACGAUGCGUAGCCGGCCUGAGAGGGUGAACGGCCACAUUGGAACUGAGAUACGGUCCAGACUCCUACGGGAGGCAGCAGUGGGGAAUAUUGCACAAUGGGCGAAAGCCUGAUGCAGCAACGCCGCGUGAGUGAUGAAGGCCUUCGGGUUGUAAAGCUCUGUCUUCUGGGACGAUAAUGACGGUACCAGAGGAGGAAGCCACGGCUAACUACGUGCCAGCAGCCGCGGUAAUACGUAGGUGGCAAGCGUUGUCCGGAUUUACUGGGCGUAAAGGAUGCGUAGGCGGAUACUUAAGUCAGAUGUGAAAAUCCCGGGCUUAACUUGGGAACUGCAUUUGAAACUGGGUAUCUAGAGUGUGGGAGAGGAAAGUGGAAUUCCUAGUGUAGCGGUGAAAUGCGUAGAGAUUAGGAAGAACACCAGUGGCGAAGGCGACUUUCUGGACCAUAACUGACGCUGAGGCAUGAAAGCGUGGGGAGCAAACAGGAUUAGAUACCCUGGUAGUCC